CUUCAGAUAAAUGAGUUCUGUGCCCACGAGUUCUGCCUGGUGAGUUGCUCCAUGGACUCCUUCCAUUUUUUGACAGGCAGUCCCUGCCACUCUCUCCUCAUCAGUGAGUGUCAUUUUUCUACAGUUUUUGCCAGCUACCUUCCUCAGCACAAUGAUGGUCAAGUAGGACUCUUUGGCUUUCUCCCAAGGAAUAUCCCAGAUGUACUCUCCCAGGUGGCACAGCAGAGCUGCUGCAUCUGUGACCAGAGCGGGGCCACCAUCACCUGCUGCGAUACAGACUGUGACCUGAGCUUCCACCUGCCCUGUGCCAAGUAGGGAGGCCGUGUCACCCAGUUCAUGGCACUGUACAGGGCCUUCUGCCCCACACACAGCCCAGAGCAGGCAGUGGAGGCGACUCCGGAGCCGGGCACCGAAUGCCUCAUCUGCAUGGAGCCUGUGGAGGACAG
Long non-coding RNA from Neopelma chrysocephalum (saffron-crested tyrant-manakin), 446 nucleotides. RefSeq lists it as uncharacterized. Lineage: Eukaryota; Metazoa; Chordata; Aves; Passeriformes; Pipridae. The record is from RefSeq and is a predicted model, not a curated record. The transcript has 3 exons.